UCAUAAAUAUAAGGAUUUCAGCAAGAAGCAAUCUGCAUCAGUAGCCAAAACAACUGUCCACAUUGUCUUUGAUGAAAGUGGGUCACAGGUUCUGGUACCAGAAAGUCAGUUGUCACCAGGUUUCAGAGAAAAACCUGGAAAGGAGGAGGAGAAACUCGGUAAA
Non-coding RNA from Lonchura striata (white-rumped munia), 163 nucleotides. The record is from RefSeq and is a predicted model, not a curated record. Lineage: Eukaryota; Metazoa; Chordata; Aves; Passeriformes; Estrildidae.